AUUGAACGCUGGCGGCAGGCCUAACACAUGCAAGUCGCGCGGAUGAAGGGAGCUUGCUCCUGGAUUCAGCGGCGGACGGGUGAGUCAUGCCUAGGAAACUGCCUGGUAGUGGGGGAUAACGUCCGGAAACGGGCGCUAAUACCGCAUACGUCCUGCGGGAGAACGUGGGGGAUCUUCGGACCUCACGCUUUCAGAUGAGCCUAGGUCGGAUUAGCUAGUUGGUGGGGUACAGGCCUACCAAGGCGACGAUCCGUAACUGGUCUGAGAGGAUGAUCAGUCACACUGGAUCUAAGACAGGGUCCAGAUUCCUACGGGAUGCAGCAGUCGGGAAUAGUCGACAAUGUGCGAAAGCCUGAUCUAGCCGUGCCGGCUGUGUGAAGAAGGGCUUCUGAUUGUAAAGCACAUUAAGUUGGGAAGAAGGGCAGUGAAUUAAUACCUAGCUGAUUUGACGUUACCAACAGAAUAAGGACCGGCUAACUUCGUG
This 484-nucleotide ribosomal RNA is filed under the name uncultured bacterium. RNAcentral's name for it is "partial 16S ribosomal RNA". It matches the Rfam family "Bacterial small subunit ribosomal RNA", at positions 30 to 507 of the family's 1533-position model. The record is from RNAcentral.